GUCCCGAAAGUAAAAGCUUUUGUUUCCACAAUGGCUAAAAGCGAAUUUUCGCGUCGGAUCGGGUAGGGCGCGUGAAUCCGAUCCGGUGAAUCCGUAUUUUCUUGUGAACCCGAUCCGCGUUUUCGGGCUCACAAAACAGAUGGUUGGUGCUCACCGGGGUCAUCGUUGGGAUCCAGACUGGACCCCGCAGAACACUGGGGGGAGUGCGUAUAUUUGCGCCUAAUUUCUGAACGACAACAGAUCCAACAGGCCAUCAUGUUUACCGAAUUUCUCCUACAACGGUAUUCUGAUCGAAACUCGAGGGGAAAUGGUUCGAAAGGUAUGAAAAAUAAACUACAUCUCUAAGAAGAUUACCAACCAAAUCUAAGGUCUACUACUUUUCUCAGGAGAACUCGCAGAGAGAUGCAGCUCUACUCGCGCACCUCGCUCCGCGCUUUCCACCGAGGAAAGGCCUCUCUAGAUCACGUUUGCAGGGGUAAUGCUCCUCAGCUCGGGCACCACGUCCCACGCAACCGAAACCUAAGAGGUCCAAAGCUGGAGCAAAUCUUCGGUAAAGCCUUAUCCACCGUACCGCCUAUUUGCUCCAACCGCAGACACAACAAGCCAGAAUCGUUAAGUAAGAGGAGAAGUGCAGGCUCACCUCGCCGCGCACCUCGAUCGACGUACUUGAUUACUCGCUGGCCGUCUGCUGGAUCGGAACAGCUGACACCGGGCACGGCCGGGACCCCACUGGUUUUCAAAUUUCCAAAAAACCAUUUUUUUCGAUUAUCUACAAACUUAAACUUAAAAACGGGGGAAAAAGUUCCCCGUUACAGGGGGGAAGGGGGGUCUCUAACAGCCCUACGAGGGGGAGGGGGUGUAGAACUGAGCCUUUCGUAAGUUUACCAGCGUAUAUUUAAAGAAAAUUCAAAGCAUUUGACAUUCCAGAAAUGCAAUGCGGAAGAGUCAUUUUUUGUCGAACUAAAAACCAACAGGACCCAGCGUUUCAUUCGCAUCCAACCGUAAACGUCCGUAGUACCAAGUUUCCGCCAUUUUCCAGAUGCAAAAGGAUUGAUAAGCAUAAAACUACAUCUACCCCGUUUAAUCUAAGUUCAUCCUGAUUCAGUAACAAUCAUCCUUGCAGUAACAAUUUAAUGAAUUUGAUUUUAAAUUGAUGGUUUUUCGAAUAAAUUAAAUGUGUUGAGUUUUAUAAAUUAAGAUUAAAAUAAAAAAAAUCUAAUCACACAUA
Bemisia tabaci is the source of this 1228-nucleotide non-coding RNA. Lineage: Eukaryota; Metazoa; Arthropoda; Insecta; Hemiptera; Aleyrodidae. The record is from RefSeq and is a predicted model, not a curated record.